CACAACUACCUACUGCUAGGUACAUGUAGUUCUGAGGAUCAUACAAAUUGUUGACACCUACUUUGUAUAUUGAAUAUCAUGGUUCUAUGCUCAGGAAUACUAGAAUUAUAUACAAAAAACAAAAAAACAUAAAAAAAUACUGUUGACCAGUGUUUAUAGUAAUCGAGACCAUCUUGGACCAUCCCCUUAUUAAAAAGCACAACUUUAUAUAAUGGUUUACAUUAUGCCAUAAUUCCAUAAAGAUGAAUGUGUCUAUCCUUUUCCGAGAAUUUGUCGGGACAAUAAAAUUAUGGGGAAAAAGAAAAGAAAAAGAAAAAAAAAACAACCAAUAACAAUAUGCCCCCUCGACCUUUGAAAGGGAUAACAUAGAACGCCCUAUAGCAGAUGCAAGGUUAUUAAACAAUAGGGGAUCAUAUAGACAGAACAGGGGAUCCUAUAGAACGCACUAUAGAAUAUGCGCGAUUAUUAAACAAAAGGGGAUCAUAUAGACCGCCAAGGUAUAAACAAUAGGGGAUCCUAUAGACAGACCCGGGGAUCCUAUAGAACGCACUAUAGAAUAUGCGCGAUUAUUAAACAAAAGGGGAUCCUAUAGACCGCCCAGGGGAUCGUAUAGAACAACCUGUUAUAGAUACAUGAUGAACAACCAACAGGGGAUCCUAUAGACAGCCCAGGGGAUCGUAUAGAACAACCUGUUAUAGAUACAUUAUGAACAAACAACAGGGGAUCCUAUAGACCGCCCCGGGGAUCCUUUAGAACGCCCUAUAGCAGAUACACAAUUAUUAAACCACAAGGGAUCCUAAAGAACGCAUAUGGGAGCAUAUAUAUAACGCCCUCUAAUAGAUACAUGAUGAAACUACAGUGCUCCUAUAGACCGACCCUGGGGUUUUAUGGAACACCCUCUAGAAGAAACAUGUUGAACAAACAACAGGGAUCAUAUUCACCGACCUUGGGAUCCUAUAGAACAACCUGUUAUAGAUACAUGAUGCACAACCAACAGGGGAUCCUAUAGACCGCCCCGGAGAACCUAUAGAACGCCCUAUAGCAGACACGAUUAUAACACAACAGGGGAUCCCAUAGAACGCUCUUUAGUAGAUAAAUCUAGUGAAUACAUGAUAACCAAACAAUGGGAUCCUAUAGAACGCCCUAUACAGAUAAACAACUAUUAAACCACAGGGGAUCAUAUCGACCGCCCAUGGGAGCAUAUAUAUAACGCCCUCUAAUAGAUACAUGAUGAAAAAACUAAAGAGCUCCUAUAGACCGACCCUGGGAUUUUAUGGAACACCCUCUAGAAGAAACAUGUUGAACAAACAACAUGCAGAGGAUCCUAUGGACCGACCCGGGGAUCCCAAAGAAUUCCACUUAACAGAUGUGCGAUUAUGAAACAAUACGGGGUCCUAUAGACCGCCCAGGGGAUCCUAUAGAACAACAUGUUAUAGAUUCAUGAUUAACAACCAACAGGGGAUCCUAUAGACCGCCCCGGGGAACCUAUAGAACGCCCUAUAGCAGAUGCACGAUUAUAACACAACAGGUGAUCCUAUAGACCCAACAGGUGAUCCCAUAUAACGCUCUCUAGUAGAUAAAUCUAGUGAAUACAUGAUAACCAAACAAUGGGAUCCUAAAGACCGCCCUGGGGAUCCUAUAGAACGCCCUAUACAGAUACACAACUAUUUAACCACAGGGGAUCAGAUCGACCGCCCAUGGGAGCAUAUAUAUAACGCCCUCUAAUAUAUACAUGAAAAACAAACAACAGUCUAACCUAUAGAACGUCCCAUAGUAGAUAUAUAAUAUUCAAACAACAGGGGAUCCUGUACAGCGUCCUUUAGUAGAUAUAUAAUGGUCAGACAACAGGGGAUCCUGUAGACCGCC
This 1866-nucleotide long non-coding RNA is filed under the name Mytilus galloprovincialis (Mediterranean mussel). Lineage: Eukaryota; Metazoa; Mollusca; Bivalvia; Mytilida; Mytilidae. The record is from RNAcentral.